UACGUAGGGGGCAAGCGUUGUCCGGAUUUAUUGGGCGUAAAGAGCGUGUAGGCGGUUUGGUAGGUCCGCUGUGAAAACUCGAGCUCAACCUCGAGACGCCGGUGGAAACCAUCAGACUAGAGUCCGGAAGAGGAGAGUGGAAUUCCUGGAUGUAGCGGUGAAAUGCGCAGAUAUCAGGAAGAACACCCGUGGCUAAGGCGGCUCUCUAGUACGGUACUGACGCUGAGACGCGAAAGCGUGGGGGAGCGAACAGG
This 254-nucleotide ribosomal RNA is filed under the name uncultured bacterium. Its description in RNAcentral is "partial 16S ribosomal RNA". It matches the Rfam family "Bacterial small subunit ribosomal RNA", at positions 524 to 776 of the family's 1533-position model. The record is from RNAcentral.